This 515-nucleotide ribosomal RNA is filed under the name uncultured bacterium. RNAcentral's name for it is "partial 16S ribosomal RNA". It matches the Rfam family "Bacterial small subunit ribosomal RNA", at positions 28 to 523 of the family's 1533-position model. The record is from RNAcentral.
GAUGAACGCUGGCGGCGUGCCUAAUACAUGCAAGUCGAGCGAAUGGAUUAAGAGCUUGCUCUUAUGAAGUUAGCGGCGGACGGGUGAGUAACACGUGGGUAACCUGCCCAUAAGACUGGGAUAACUCCGGGAAACCGGGGCUAAUACCGGAUAACAUUUUGAACCGCAUGGUUCGAAAUUGAAAGGCGGCUUCGGCUGUCACUUAUGGAUGGACCCGCGUCGCAUUAGCUAGUUGGUGAGGUAACGGCUCACCAAGGCAACGAUGCGUAGCCGACCUGAGAGGGGGAUCGGCCAGACGGGGACUGAGACACGGCCCCGACUCCUACGGGAGGCAGCAGUAGGGAAUCUUCCGCAAUGGACGAAAGUCUGACGGAGCAACGCCGCGUGAGUGAUGAAGGCUUUCGGGUCGUAAAACUCUGUUGUUAGGGAAGAACAAGUGCUAGUUGAAUAAGCUGACACCUUGACGGUACCUAACCAGAAAGCCACGGCCAACUACGUGCCAGCCGCCGCGGUAA